RNAcentral lists this ribosomal RNA (495 nucleotides) under Lepiota ampliocystidiata. Its description in RNAcentral is "SSU rRNA". It matches the Rfam family "Bacterial small subunit ribosomal RNA", at positions 411 to 903 of the family's 1533-position model. The record is from RNAcentral. Lineage: Eukaryota; Fungi; Basidiomycota; Agaricomycetes; Agaricales; Agaricaceae.
AACUUAAUCUUGAGAUCACUUAUAUGUGGUACUCGAGAUAACGUAAGGGAAAAUAAAUGAUAUUACCUUACUAUAAGUGUUGUCCAAAUCACUGGUGCCAGAAGACUCGGUAACGCCAGAAACGCAAACGUUAGUCGCAUUAAUCAGGCGUAAAGGGUAAGUAGGCAGCUUUAAAAUUUAUUAAUUAUUAUGCUUUGUCUUAAUUGAUAAAUAAUUUAAUAUUGAAUUAAAGCUAGAAUCAAAAAGAGGAUAAGCCAAAUAAUAUUUAGAGUAGGGAUGAAAUCCGUAGAUACUAAAUGGAAUACUUAAGGUGUAAACUUUUAUCCAAUAAUGAUUGACGCUGAGGAACGAAGGUGAGAAUAGAAAAUAGGAUUAGAGACCCAGAUAUCUCUCACUGUCAACGAUGAAUGGUAGUUGUUAGUCUUAAUAUAGAUUAGUAACGAUGUUAACGCGAUAACCAUUCCGCCUUGCGAGUACGGUUGCAAAACUGAGGAA